UCUUUUCAAGAUCUGUUAGCCACGACGAAAUAAAUUAGCUACUCAUCAUUUGUUGAACUGUUGCUUGUGGAAACAGAUUAGUAUGAGAAAACCCAUCAAUGGUUUAACUAUAUAUGCUCCAACCAAAUUUCAUAUUCGUGAAAUCUGUCAAGCUAAUUGAGUUAAGGUUUUGAUUUUUUUGUCAAUUUUGCUUAGGGUUACAAAUUUAUACAUAAAUUCAUGUGUUCUCGUAAAUGGCUAGUAGGUUUUACUAUUUCCCUUGUGUUGCAAAUAGAUUUCUUCAGAAAUUCAUGUGUUCUAAUUUUUGCCCAAUUCAUUGUUAAUGUACUGCUGUUGUAGUCUGUUUAUAACAACUUUUUUUUUGAAUUUUUACCUAUAAUUCCAAUUGGAUAUGUAAGUAGACUUGUUUUCUAGAAUAUUGAUGUUUAGACUUAUCUUUGAUUCUAUAAUUGAAAUGGUGAAAUAUAGGUUGCAAGUAUGACAUGCAGUUUCAGGACCUAUCUAAACACCAUUGACUAUAUUAUUCAUAACUGAUUCAAUACUGAACAUUUUUUGUUGAUUUCAAAAACACUGUAAAAUAGAUUCAUUUAUCUAAAGAAUUUGUGUUAGAGUCGAGACCUAAAUAUGUAGUUUGCACUUUCAUUGAAGCAGAGUGAGUCUGACAAUUUUUCUGCAAGGUAUUAGGAUACACCGUGAUAUGGGUGACUGAGAACGAAUUUUUGUCUGGCCCUUUGAUAUUUGGUUGCUGCUUAUGUGAAAAUUUGAUUGUUAUCAUUAAUAUUAAAUUCUAGAUAGUGAUUGUUUUAUUUUGUGUCUUAGUUUAUAAUCUCGUUCAUCUUCCUCUUUAGUUUGUAAUCGUGUUCAUCUUAAUCAGAUUGAAAUAGCUAAGAUAUCUCUCCAAGAGUGAAACUACAUAUCUUGCUUAUUUCCAAUUGUGCUUGAGGUAUGUUUUUUAUGUCUCCUUUGAGUUGCAAGUAGAUUUCUUCCCAAAGUCAUGUGUUAGAUUUUUUGCCCUGAGCUUUUUAGACUAUGUACGAUACUGUAAUUUCUCUUUUGUUUUGGGAUACACUCAUACACACACCACUUUAGUGCCAAGUUUGUCAUUGUGCUGAAUUUCUAACUUAUUUUCUUUGUUCACCAAUAAGGUAGUGACCAUACUCUAACCCUUCAAUAGCUUGUGUUGCACUCGAUUUAUAUAUUAUUUGAAAGCUGUUCAUUACACUAUAUAAUAUAUACUCUCAUGGAAUCAUAUUUUAGUAAGUUAUCUGAAUAAGGGGUGUAUGAUGUGUAUAUUUGGAAGCUCACCGAGUGAUUCUAAAAGCUAUAAGCCUAACCUUUUUGGACUAGGAUUUAUGUAAUUUUGAAUUAGCAGGUGAAAUAUUAUAUCACAACCAGGCUAGCAUCAAGUUAUAUUGCUAGUACAAUAUGUAACUGACAUAAUAUGUAGGAUCAUGUUUCAUCAAAUCUAUUCCAGACAUAUGUACAGAUCUAUUUAAGAGCUCACACAUUCAUUCCAAUAAACAUUCAUAGUGAGCAGUAUGAGUUUGUACUUUCAACAAUCUCUUCAAUAUGGUUCUAAUCGGUUUUUUUUCUUUGACCUUGCAAGAAAAUGGUACUCACAGGGAAUGGAAAAUAAAGCGGGUCUUCUGCAAAUGUAGAUCGAUCAUUAUUCUUUACUGGUUGGUAUGGUUUAUCAAGUUUCAGAUUUCAUUUCUGGGCUCUAUUACUAUCAAGAGGUAAAGUGUAUUUUGCAUAUUUUUUUAGAAUUUCUUUUGCCAUCUGCAAACUAGUCUAACUAUUAAUGUUUGGUACUUUGAUUUGAUUUACUAAAUUUUCAUAACACCAUAUUUUGCUUUUCAUUGCUACAGUUACAGUUUUUCACACUGUGAUCUGUCCACCAUUUAACAUCGGAGAGAGUAGUCCAUUGUCUUGCGAUCUGUCAGGGUCCAAUGAUUACCUUUCACAAAACUGGAAUGAAUUCAUAUGCUUUCAGGUAAUGCAACUUGAACACAAGCUAUCUAUAUAUUCUUUCAAUAUCAUAGAUAUGUGUUUUAUUUUUUUUACACCAAGCUUGCUUUAAUUUCAGAGUGAAGGCUGGGAUGAUAUGGGCAGUUGAAGAGAGAACAAUGGAAUUAUAAAAGAAAUCCGAGAAGUGGUUAUGCAUGGUGUAUAGUGUAUGGGGAUUGGUUAUGGAUUAAGAGUCUUUGAUAUUCUUCGUUUUGACUAUUACAAAUGUUUAUAUUUGUUGUAUGAACAUUCUUUUUAUCAAUAAUACCAUAUAUUUAGAUUUUUGUAGUCUUUUCUACUAUUGGAAUUCUUACAACAUAGUUUAUGAAUGAAUUAUGAUGUAUGAAAAUAUCUUUGGUGGAUGAGAUUUGGAUGAGA
This 2385-nucleotide long non-coding RNA is filed under the name Aquilegia coerulea. RNAcentral describes it as "long non-coding RNA (ACOE_LNC001759)". Lineage: Eukaryota; Viridiplantae; Streptophyta; Magnoliopsida; Ranunculales; Ranunculaceae. The record is from RNAcentral.